Molecule: long non-coding RNA, 924 nt
Filed under: Ananas comosus (pineapple)
Lineage: Eukaryota; Viridiplantae; Streptophyta; Magnoliopsida; Poales; Bromeliaceae
Description: long non-coding RNA (ACOM_LNC033948)
Source: RNAcentral
AUUAUUGUCUAUAUAUAUAUAUAUAUAUAUAUAUCUACAGAGUCCGGCUAUGAUAUUUGUAAAAGCACCAAUUACUUUGUAUUAUAGGUUUUUAACUAUUAGAUCAGCACUGUUGAUCAUUUACACCCGUUAGAUUAUACUAUUCAACUAACCAUCCACUCAACCCUGGGGGCUCAUAUCAUCCUAACAACAUAUUUUUUAAUCUAAAGGCUAAAAACUUACAAGCAUCAAUGUCUUGGUACUUUUAAAAGCAUAGGAGCUCAAUUAUAUAUAUAUAUAUAUAUAUAUAUAUAUAUAUAUAGAAUUAGGCCGGAAUACUAUUAAUAGUAAAACGUUCUUUUCGCUAUCAAGUUUUUAACCUUUGGAUGAAAAAUUGAUAGUAAAACGCUCUUUUAGCUAUCAAAUUUUUAACCCUUGGAUGAAAAAUUGAUAGUAAAACGCUCUUUUAGCUAUCAAAUUUUUAACCCUUGGAUGAAAAAUUAUAGGGUUAGGAUGAUAUUAGUCAGUUAGAGUUGAGUGGUCCCCACUGGGUUAUAGUAUUUAAUCCAAUGGUUAGAAAUAAUGAAAAGAGUUGAUCCAAAGGCUUAAAAACUGAUAGCAACAAUAAGAUUUUGCUACUAAUAGUAGCCCAGUCCAACUCUCUCUAUAUAUAUAUAUAGACUAGGGCUAUUAUAUUUUUAUAAGUAUAAAUCUUUUUGUACUCAUAAAUUUUCAACCGUUUAAUAAAGAGAUGUACGAUUAGAAUGAUAAUGGUUUUCGGUUAGAAUGAUAGUAGUCUCCUUAGGUUGAGUAGGUGAUUGAGUGGGUAGGUGGUUGAAUAAUAUGAUAUAACAGAUGGAAAUAGUUAAAGGAAUAGAUUUAACGAUCAAAAAUUUAAUUUAUACUAGUUUUCAUUAGUUCAUACACAUGCAGUUUGAUGAGAUA